This 508-nucleotide ribosomal RNA is filed under the name uncultured bacterium. RNAcentral describes it as "partial 16S ribosomal RNA". It matches the Rfam family "Bacterial small subunit ribosomal RNA", at positions 30 to 523 of the family's 1533-position model. The record is from RNAcentral.
AUUGAACGCUGGCGGCAUGCCUUACACAUGCAAGUCGAACGGCAGCGGGGGAGAAGCUUGCUUUUCCUGCCGGCGAGUGGCGAACGGGUGAGUAAUACAUCGGAACGUGCCCUGUAGUGGGGGAUAACUAGUCGAAAGAUUAGCUAAUACCGCAUACGACCUGAGGGUGAAAGUGGGGGACCGCAAGGCCUCAUGCUAUAGGAGCGGCCGAUGUCUGAUUAGCUAGUUGGGGGGGUAAAGGCCUACCAAGGCGACGAUCGGUAGCUGGUCUGAGAGGACGAUCAGCCACACUGGGACGGAGACACGGCCCAGACUCCUACGGGAGGCAGCAGUGGGGAAUUUUGGACAAUGGGCGAAAGCCUGAUCCAGCAAUGCCGCGUGUGUGAAGAAGGCCUUCGGGUUGUAAAGCACUUUUGUCCGGAAAGAAAUGGCUCUGGUUAAUACCUGGGGUCGAUGACGGUACCGGAAGAAUAAGGACCGGCUAACUACGUGCCAGCCGCCGCCGUAA